RNAcentral lists this ribosomal RNA (545 nucleotides) under [Candida] sp. GY7M03. RNAcentral describes it as "eukaryotic LSU rRNA". It matches the Rfam family "Eukaryotic large subunit ribosomal RNA", at positions 89 to 650 of the family's 3401-position model. The record is from RNAcentral. Lineage: Eukaryota; Fungi; Ascomycota; Saccharomycetes; Saccharomycetales.
GCGAGUGAAGCGGCAAAAGCUCAAAUUUGAAAUCUAGCACUUUCAGUGUUCGAGUUGUAAUUUGAAGAAGGUAUCUUUGGAGUUGGCCCCCGUCUAUGUUCCUUGGAACAGGACGUCACAGAGGGUGAGAAUCCCGUGCGAUGGGGAGACCAAUUCUAUGUAAAGUUCCUUCGAAGAGUCGAGUUGUUUGGGAAUGCAGCUCUAAGUGGGUGGUAAAUUCCAUCUAAAGCUAAAUAUUGGCGAGAGACCGAUAGCGAACAAGUACAGUGAUGGAAAGAUGAAAAGAACUUUGAAAAGAGAGUGAAAAAGUACGUGAAAUUGUUGAAAGGGAAGGGCUUUUGAUCAGACUUGGUGUUUAGUACUCUCUUCUCCUUGUGGGAGGGGCUCUUGCUUUAUACUGGGCCAGCAUCGGUUUGGAUGGUAGGAUAAUAGCAUUGGAACGUGGCUUCAUUCGUGAAGUGUUAUAGCCUUUGUUGAUACUACCUAUCUAGACCGAGGACUGCGUCUUUUGACUAGGAUGCUGGCGUAAUGAUUAAAAGCCGCCC